GUUGACAGAACAGAGGUGAUUCGCACCUGCAUAAACCCAGUGUAUUCAAAACUGUUCACUGUGGACUUUUACUUUGAAGAGGUGCAGCGUCUGCGGUUUGAAGUUCAUGACAUCAGCAGCAACCACAAUGGGCUGAAGGAGGCCGACUUCCUGGGUGGCAUGGAGUGCACACUUGGCCAGAUUGUUUCCCAGAGAAAACUGUCUAAAUCCUUGUUGAAGCAUGGAAACACAGCAGGGAAAUCCUCCAUCACGGUGAUUGCAGAAGAAUUAUCUGGCAAUGAUGACUACGUUGAACUUGCAUUCAAUGCACGGAAAUUGGAUGACAAGG
This is a non-coding RNA of Leptonychotes weddellii (Weddell seal), 328 nucleotides long. The record is from RefSeq and is a predicted model, not a curated record. Lineage: Eukaryota; Metazoa; Chordata; Mammalia; Carnivora; Phocidae.